GGCGGCGGCCACGCUGGGUGAGAAGAAAGAAAAGCCCUGUUAGGAUUAAGGGGGUGAGAGACGGGCCUGAAGGAUGGUUGGGAUUUUCAGCAGAUGGGACUCCAGACAGAGGGAAGGAACACGAAGAGGGAGCCGCCUAAUGAUGGGAACGCUUUCUAUGGAGCGAGAGAAAGGAAGAAUGAAUAUGUCAGACUUAAUGCUGAUUAAUGCUGGUAAUCAGCCUGGCA
This 227-nucleotide long non-coding RNA is filed under the name Ictidomys tridecemlineatus (thirteen-lined ground squirrel). RNAcentral's name for it is "lncRNA (ENSSTOG00000032749.1)". Lineage: Eukaryota; Metazoa; Chordata; Mammalia; Rodentia; Sciuridae. The record is from RNAcentral.